GAUGAACGCUGGCGGCGUGCCUAAUACAUGCAAGUCGAGCGAACGGACGAGAAGCUUGCUUCUCUGAUGUUAGCGGCGGACGGGUGAGUAACACGUGGAUAACCUACCUAUAAGACUGGGAUAACUUCGGGAAACCGUAGCUAAUACCGGAUAAUAUUUUGAACCGCAUGGUUCAAAAGUGAAAGACGGUCUUGCUGUCACUUAUAGAUGGAUCCGCGCUGCAUUAGCUAGUUGGUAGGGUAACGGCUUACCAAGGCAACGAUGCAUAGCCGACCUGAGAGGGUGAUCGGCCACACUGGAACUGAGACACGGUCCAGACUCCUACGGGAGGCAGCAGUAGGGAAUCGUCCGCAAUGGGCGAAAGCCUGACGGAGCAACGCCGCGUGAGUGAUGAAGGUCUUCGGAUCGUAAAACUCUGUUAUUAGGGAAGAACAUAUGUGUAAGUAACUGUGCACAUCUUGACGGUACCUAAUCAGAAAGCCACGGCUAACUACGUG
This 497-nucleotide ribosomal RNA is filed under the name uncultured bacterium. RNAcentral describes it as "partial 16S ribosomal RNA". It matches the Rfam family "Bacterial small subunit ribosomal RNA", at positions 28 to 507 of the family's 1533-position model. The record is from RNAcentral.